GCCAGAGAUUCCUAUCGGGAGAGGGAAGACUUUACUUUUGAAGAGGAAAAGUACUUAACUCCUAGAGGAAAGCGUCAUUCCUGAGGUUUACCCUCAUGGUCUGGAGACAAACACGUGGGACUUUUCUUUUUUGUGUGUGUUUCUAAUAGUGGAAGAAAAGGAAAGCCAGGCUAAGCAGAGAAAAGUGGAAGAGGAGACACAGCAGCUCAUUCUUUCCCAGUAGCCGUUAGACUGAUUGCGGAGGGGAAGGUCAAAAGAGAAGUUCACAACUAUGAUACCAGCUCUAGAGGCGAAAGAACAACUGAGAGAGAACUAUCCAAGAAGUGUUUGGAUCCCGAAGCACAAAGGUAGACUUACAAAGGAUGAAAUUGAUCUCUACUACUAAGUGGAUCCAUCUUCAAGAGAGGGCGUUCAGAACACCCGGAAAGAUAAGAAAGGAUUCAGCACAGGCACGUGCCUAUCUCAGCACCUUCACAGCAGAGAGCGAAUCUCUGCAUCCAGUUACCCCAGAGACACAUCUGGACACCUCCCCGCAACAAAGCCCCCAAGACCUUCCAGAAGAGGAGCUGUGUCCAAGAGCCCCCUUCCUGUUAUGGGAAGUGCACUAUCUUCUGACCCUCAUAUCUGUUGCCUCUAUUUGUUGCUCUCUCAUAAACCAAUCCAAAUGGAGGGCAUCUGUAUUGCCAAAGGGAUUGGUCACUCAGCUUCGUCGGAUGCAAGAAAAGAUUCUGAGGGUAGGGACGGGCAUCGGUCUUGCUGACUGCCCUCUCUGCAGCUGUCAGGACUGGGCUUAGCAUGUAGUAGGUGGCCCAUAAAUAUUUGUUGAAUGAACACAUAUCGUCGGGAAAAAGGAGGUUGUUGUAAGGACACGCAGAAGAACCAGAACUGGAACUGGAAGUCAGAGCGGAAGUGGCCCCAGGGACCAAACAUGUUAGGACUUCCUCACCUCCUUGGGACAUGGUUAUGAAGAUGAGAGUAAAUGACACGUCACUUCCGGACAGAAUCUUUCAGAGUCAACUUGCAAUUCACGAUGUCCCUGUCUCUGCCUUAAUCAUAGUGGAAGCACCUGCUGAGAUGGAAGUUUCCUCAGCCUGGUCUCUGAGGGUCUAUGAUGAGCAGUCUUCCCUAGUAUCCGCUUUGGAGAAAUAGAUCUUAACUGAAUUAAGAUACUGAGGUUUGGCAUUAUUUAUUUAUGUAUCUAUUUAUUUACUUGUAACAUCUUUGUUAGAUUUUGGUAUCUGGUUAUUGCUAGCCUCCUCAAACAAACUGAGAAGAGUUCUUUCCUGCUCUAUUUUCUGAAAGAAUUUGCUUAAGAUUUGUGUAACUUCUUUCUCAAAUGUUUGAUAGAAUUCACCAGGGAAACUAUCUGGGCUAGGAGCUUCCUUCCUCUUUCUUUCUUCUUUGUCUCUCUUUCUGUCUUUUCUUUCUUUUCAAAAGCUCUACUUAUAUAGCAUUGACAUUUAAAAAUUGUACAUAUUUAAGCUGUACAACUUGAUUUAACUCUAAACAAUAGUUUUAUUUAAAUAAUAUUUUUUAUUAUACUUUAAG
This 1548-nucleotide long non-coding RNA is filed under the name Homo sapiens (human). RNAcentral describes it as "HSALNT0388386". The record is from RNAcentral. Lineage: Eukaryota; Metazoa; Chordata; Mammalia; Primates; Hominidae.